Acanthosepion pharaonis is the source of this 99-nucleotide non-coding RNA. Lineage: Eukaryota; Metazoa; Mollusca; Cephalopoda; Sepiida; Sepiidae. The record is from the annotation of a GenBank genome assembly.
AUUGAAACACUGGUUUCCAUAUGAUCACUGAAGUUAAGCAAAGUUGAGCCUGGUCAGUACCUAGUUGAGCAACCGCUUAGGAAUACCAAGUGCUGUAAG